Molecule: ribosomal RNA, 255 nt
Filed under: uncultured bacterium
Lineage: Bacteria
Description: partial 16S ribosomal RNA
Rfam family: Bacterial small subunit ribosomal RNA
Source: RNAcentral
UACGUAGGGUGCAAGCGUUGUCCGGAAUUAUUGGGCGUAAAGAGCUUGUAGGUGGUUUGUCGCGUCUGCUGUGAAAAUCCGAGGCUCAACCUCGGACUUGCAGUGGGUACGGGCAGACUAGAGUGUGGGUAGGGGGAGACUGGAAUUCCUGGUGUAGCGGUGGAAUGCGCAGAUAUCAGGAGGAACACCGUAUGGCGAAGGCAGGUCUCUGGGCCGAUGACUGACGUGAGGAGCGAAAGCGUGGGGAGCAACAGG